Molecule: ribosomal RNA, 627 nt
Filed under: uncultured bacterium
Lineage: Bacteria
Description: bacterial SSU rRNA
Rfam family: Bacterial small subunit ribosomal RNA
Source: RNAcentral
CCUACGGGAGGCAGCAGUGGGGAAUUUUGGACAAUGGGGGCAACCCUGAUCCAGCCAUUCCGCGUGAGUGAAGAAGGCCUUCGGGUUGUAAAGCUCUUUCGCAAGGGAAGAAAACUUAUGAUCGAAUAAAUCAUGAGGUUGACGGUACCUUGAUAAGAAGCACCGGCUAACUACGUGCCAGCAGCCGCGGUAAUACGUAGGGUGCGAGCGUUAAUCGGAAUUACUGGGCGUAAAGCGUGCGCAGGCGGUUUUGUAAGUCGGAUGUGAAAUCCCCGGGCUCAACCUGGGAACUGCGUUCGAAACUGCAAGGCUAGAGUGUGUCAGAGGGGGGUAGAAUUCCACGUGUAGCAGUGAAAUGCGUAGAGAUGUGGAGGAAUACCAAUGGCGAAGGCAGCCCCCUGGGAUAACACUGACGCUCAUGCACGAAAGCGUGGGGAGCAAACAGGAUUAGAUACCCUGGUAGUCCACGCCCUAAACGAUGUCAACUAGUUGUUGGUAGAGUAAAAUCUAUGAGUAACGUAGCUAACGCGUGAAGUUGACCGCCUGGGGAGUACGGUCGCAAGGAUUAAAACUUCAAAGUGUUAAUUGACGGCGNGAGAGCGACGACGACGACGACGGAGGAGGAGG